CUCCAACUCAACACUCACUCUACCCAAGACAGAUGUCACUCUGAAAAACAAUGAACUUUAAUGUGUAUAUCACUCUUCUGAUAUCUAUAGGACAGGCAGCCAGCAUGUUUCAACAGAAGGUCUCAGUGACCAAACCUCUGGGCAAAUCAGUAGUGAUAACCUGCGUAUACACGACUGGAUGCAGGGGAAACUACAUUCACUGGUACCAGAAAAAAGAUGGAGAAAGUUUCCAGAGAAUGUUGUACAUUGAUGCAGAUGAUGGCAGUACAUGGGCUGUGGAACUCAAUCAGGACAUCAGUGUGUCUGCAGCUGUGGGGAAAGAGGUCUCAAUUCACUGCAUUUAUGGAACUGGGUGUUGGGACUACAUCCACUGGUACCAGAAAAAGGAGGGAGAGAGCUUUAAGAGAAUAUUGUACAUCGGUAUAAACUCAGGAACCAAAGUAAAUGAUCCUGCUUAUGAAGAGUUCCGAGCAGUGAAAACUGGGAAAAUGUUUACUUUGAAAAUCCCGCAGUUGAAGUCCUUUCAUGCGGCAGUUUACUACUGUGCAUGCUGGUCCUCCCACAGUGAGAAUAACUGUGAAUGUCCUGUGCAAAAACACUGA
Non-coding RNA from Alosa alosa (allis shad), 602 nucleotides. Lineage: Eukaryota; Metazoa; Chordata; Actinopteri; Clupeiformes; Clupeidae. The record is from the annotation of a RefSeq genome assembly.